Onychostoma macrolepis is the source of this 504-nucleotide long non-coding RNA. RefSeq lists it as uncharacterized. The transcript is spliced from 3 exons. The record is from RefSeq and is a predicted model, not a curated record. Lineage: Eukaryota; Metazoa; Chordata; Actinopteri; Cypriniformes; Cyprinidae.
UAGAAACACAAACAUCUAUAUAUGGUAUUGUCCUGACGCUUCCCCUUUAAGAAAUCUGAGUGUAGUGCGCGUGCAACUGUAGCGCGCAUACUUUGAACAGUAACGGUCAAAGAGGAGAAGAAGCUGAGAAAUCGAGUGAUUAACGUUGUUUAACUUGUUAAAAUGUAUUUAAAGAUGCUAAAAAGGAAGAAAUAGUAAUACUUAUCUGAUCUGCAUCCUAAACGAACAGUUUUGGGUUAACAAUAUCUGUUGGCAACUGCAAUGAAGCAUCAAGAAAGACAUGGACAUGCCAGCCACCCUGAGACUGAUAAUUCAUGAGAAGACAUUUCUGUCAAAGUGGAUGGUGAGCAAAGAUGGUGGCCACGUUUUGGAGCAGCACCUGGGUUUUGCAGAUGGCUAUGUAUUCUUUGGCUGCUUGUCUUUAUGUUUCUGUUGCCUAAAGAUUCUUUGUGAGGAUAAAUCACAACAAAAUGCACUGCAAACCGUCCUAAGACAGGAGAAAUG